Podarcis lilfordi (Lilford's wall lizard) is the source of this 74-nucleotide non-coding RNA. The record is from the annotation of a GenBank genome assembly. Lineage: Eukaryota; Metazoa; Chordata; Lepidosauria; Squamata; Lacertidae.
GAAGGGCCAUAGCUCAGUGGUAGAGCAUCUGCUUUGCAUGCAGAAGGUCUCAGGUUCGAAUCCCAGCACCUUCA